Long non-coding RNA from Uranotaenia lowii, 1494 nucleotides. RefSeq lists it as uncharacterized. NCBI's taxonomy places the organism in Eukaryota, Metazoa, Arthropoda, Insecta, Diptera, Culicidae. The record is from RefSeq and is a predicted model, not a curated record. The transcript is spliced from 6 exons.
AUAUGAAGGUGAGCAAAAUAGGGCCGUUGCCGUCGGGACCGACAAAAUCACCAAAUUUGCUCACAAGAAAGGGGCGAGAGCAAACAUACACUGAAAAAAUUCUACCGUUUAAUGCUGAGUUAAACAAACGACGUUCAGCGUGUAGAGUUUAUUUACAUUUCAUUUUGCGCAUUGGUCGAACCGUCCAACUGCCCACAGAACACCAUAGCCGUGGUGGAACCGGCAGAUUCGUUUGCUGUCGGUAUUUCUUUAACCGCAAAUCCGAACCAGAAUAGAGGUCCGCACCGACAACACAAUCAUUCUUCGCACCAACAGCAACAGCAGCCAUAGGGCCCCGAAAGGUACAACGGCAGCCUGUAGCUGGAAAAGAAUAGUUGUUCGUGAGCGAAAAUCGAAUCGCAGAAGAAUCUUUGUGGUGAUUUGGCACAUUGGCUAUUGGCCAGCGGCUAUAAAGGUUUUAACAUCAAGAGUCAAGAUGCUAUUUCCGGCAACGAAUCGGGUAUGGGCAGCUAAAAAUAGUGUGGAUCAAUGUUGGUCAACGUCUGCAUGUGGAUUAUUUCAAAUCUUAAAAGCAUUGUAACAAUUACUCUUGCGUCUAAUGAGGCCAGAAAUAUGAAAAUCAAUUUUUGGCUGAAAUUUAUUUGAAUAGAAUUUAAUCCAAUCAAAAUUCCAAUUGAGAGACUAUUCAAAGCUAUGCAAAUUGCAGCGUUCCACAAGUUUCUCGGAAAUUAGAUUUUCUGCCCUCAAUAAAACGUUAACAACCGUUCAACGACUACCAUGCACCAUCUCGUCGCAUCCCACUGUUUCAUCAACCAUGCUGCUGGAGCUUCCAUUGGUGUAGAUCAUCAAACUUUUUUUGUUUGUCCAGAGUUUGCAUUUGGAAUCCAACGUAAGACCGCAAGCCAAAUUUGUCGCAAGCAAGAUGGAAACAAGGCUAAAGCAGGCAUUCAGACUUAUUUCCGAAAUUUAUCCAAUAUUCAGACGAUAAAAAAGAAAUUGAAUGGUGCAGGCUGACUUGAAAAGAUGUUUACAAUAUCUAAAAAAGUAAUUUUAGAUUAUUCAUGGGAGUCGAUUUGGGAACGAUGACAAGAUGCACGAAGAAGCGAUUGGAAUGAAUCCGAAAAUUCUCAAAUCAUAACCAAAAAUUUCCAGACUACCCAACGAGAAUGUACCGCGACUUUAAAAUGGGGCUGUUGCUUUUGGUAUUGAUUAACAAGAAAACAUCGAAUUUGAAGUUGGAUAUUUUUUGCAUCGUCUAUUUCCGUACCUCCGUUUAAUAUUUUUGAUCUAACAACUUGAUUAUGAAUUUUAUAAAAUAAUGCAUGUCGAUAACUACCUUUGGCUGGUGCUAUGGAAUGGAAACUUCCGGAAAAUCAAAAUUGUAUUUUAUUUUUGUUAUUAUUUGCUUCAAUUACGAAAAACACAGCAAGUGUAAUACAGAUAUUUAUAAGGAUAAUUUAUUGUGAAUAAAAAAUGAGAAUUUAUGGCAAGCGA